CAAUGGCGUAAACAAAGGGAGGCGAAGCUGUGAGGCGGAGCGAAUCCCAAAAAUAACGUCCCAGUUCGGAUUGUAGUCUGCAACCCGACUACAUGAAGCUGGAAUCGCUAGUAAUCGCGAAUCAGCAUGUCGCGGUGAAUACGUUCCCGGGUCUUGUACACACCGCCCGUCACACCAUGGGAGUCAGUAACGCCCGAAGCCGGUGACCCAACCGAUAAGGAGGGAGCCGUCGAAGGUGGGACCGAUAACUGGGGUGAAGUCGUAACAAGGUACC
RNAcentral lists this ribosomal RNA (274 nucleotides) under uncultured bacterium. RNAcentral's name for it is "partial 16S ribosomal RNA". It matches the Rfam family "Bacterial small subunit ribosomal RNA", at positions 1228 to 1500 of the family's 1533-position model. The record is from RNAcentral.